CAUGCAAGUCGAACGCUUUGUGGUUCAACUGAUUUGAAGAGCUUGCUCAGAUAUGACGAUGGACAUUGCAAAGAGUGGCGAACGGGUGAGUAACACGUGGGAAACCUACCUCUUAGCAGGGGAUAACAUUUGGAAACAGAUGCUAAUACCGUAUAACAAUGACAACCGCAUGGUUGUUAUUUAAAAGAUGGUUCUGCUAUCACUAAGAGAUGGUCCCGCGGUGCAUUAGCUAGUUGGUAAGGUAAUGGCUUACCAAGGCGAUGAUGCAUAGCCGAGUUGAGAGACUGAUCGGCCACAAUGGGACUGAGACACGGCCCAUACUCCUACGGGAGGCAGCAGUAGGGAAUCUUCCACAAUGGGCGAAAGCCUGAUGGAGCAACGCCGCGUGUGUGAUGAAGGGUUUCGGCUCGUAAAACACUGUUGUAAGAGAAGAAUGACAUUGAGAGUAACUGUUCAAUGUGUGACGGUAUCUUACCAGAAAGGAACGGCUAAAUACGUGCCAGCAGCCGCGGUAAUACGUAUGUUCCAAGCGUUAUCCGGAUUUAUUGGGCGUAAAGCGAGCGCAGACGGUUAUUUAAGUCUGAAGUGAAAGCCCUCAGCUCAACUGAGGAAUUGCUUUGGAAACUGGAUGACUUGAGUGCAGUAGAGGAAAGUGGAACUCCAUGUGUAGCGGUGAAAUGCGUAGAUAUAUGGAAGAACACCAGUGGCGAAGGCGGCUUUCUGGACUGUAACUGACGUUGAGGCUCGAAAGUGUGGGUAGCAAACAGGAUUAGAUACCCUGGUAGUCCACACCGUAAACGAUGAGUGCUAGGUGUUUGAGGGUUUCCGCCCUUAAGUGCCGCAGCUAACGCAUUAAGCACUCCGCCUGGGGAGUACGACCGCAAGGUUGAAACUCAAAGGAAUUGACGGGGACCCGCACAAGCGGUGGAGCAUGUGGUUUAAUUCGAAGCAACGCGAAGAACCUUACCAGGUCUUGACAUCCCUUGACAACUCCAGAGAUGGAGCGUUCCCUUCGGGGACAAGGUGACAGGUGGUGCAUGGUUGUCGUCAGCUCGUGUCGUGAGAUGUUGGGUUAAGUCCCGCAACGAGCGCAACCCUUAUUACUAGUUGCCAGCAUUCAGUUGGGCACUCUAGUGAGACUGCCGGUGACAAACCGGAGGAAGGUGGGGAUGACGUCAAAUCAUCAUGCCCCUUAUGACCUGGGCUACACACGUGCUACAAUGGCGUAUACAACGAGUUGCCAACCCGCGAGGGUGAGCUAAUCUCUUAAAGUACGUCUCAGUUCGGAUUGUAGGCUGCAACUCGCCUACAUGAAGUCGGAAUCGCUAGUAAUCGCGGAUCAGCACGCCGCGGUGAAUACGUUCCCGGGUCUUGUACACACCGCCCGUCACACCAUGAGAGUUUGUAACACCCAAAGCCGGUGGGGUAACCUUCGGGAGCCAGC
RNAcentral lists this ribosomal RNA (1444 nucleotides) under Weissella confusa. RNAcentral describes it as "bacterial SSU rRNA". It matches the Rfam family "Bacterial small subunit ribosomal RNA". Lineage: Bacteria; Bacillati; Bacillota; Bacilli; Lactobacillales; Lactobacillaceae. The record is from RNAcentral.